This 482-nucleotide ribosomal RNA is filed under the name uncultured bacterium. Its description in RNAcentral is "bacterial SSU rRNA". It matches the Rfam family "Bacterial small subunit ribosomal RNA", at positions 29 to 506 of the family's 1533-position model. The record is from RNAcentral.
UUGAACGCUGGCGGCAUGCUUUACACAUGCAAGUCGAGCGGCAGCGCGGGGGCAACCCUGGCGGCGAGCGGCGAACGGGUGAGUAACAUAUCGGAACGUACCCAGACGUGGGGGAUAACACAUCGAAAGAUGUGCUAAUACCGCAUACGACCUGAGGGGGAAAGGGGGGGAUCGCAAGACCUCUCGCUUUUGGAGCGGCCGAUAUCGGAUUAGCUAGUUGGUGAGGUAAAGGCUCACCAAGGCGACGAUCCGUAGCUGGUCUGAGAGGACGACCAGCCACACUGGGACUGAGACACGGUCCAGACUCCUACGGGAGGCAGCAGUGGGGAAUUUUGGACAAUGGGGGCAACCCUGAUCCAGCCAUUCCGCGUGAGUGAAGAAGGCCUUCGGGUUGUAAAGCUCUUUCGGCGGGAACGAAACGGUGACGACUAAUACUAGUCACUAAUGACGGUACCUGAAGAAGAAGCACCGGCUAACUACGU